GACGAACGCUGGCGGCGUGCUUAACACAUGCAAGUCGAGCGGUAAGGCCCUUUCGGGGGUACACGAGCGGCGAACGGGUGAGUAACACGUGGGUGACCUGCCCUCAGCUCUGGGAUAAGCCUGGGAAACCGGGUCUAAUACCGGAUAUGACUCCAUGACGCAUGUUGUGGGGUGGAAAGCCUUGUGCGGCUGAGGAUGGGCCCGCGGCCUAUCAGCUUGUUGGUGGGGUGAUGGCCUACCAAGGCGACGACGGGUAGCCGGCCUGAGAGGGCGACCGGCCACACUGGGACUGAGACACCGGCCAGACCUCCGUACGGGAGGCAGCAGGUGGGGAAUCUUGCGCAAGUGGGACGAAAGCCUGACGCAGCGACGCCGCGUGA
RNAcentral lists this ribosomal RNA (380 nucleotides) under uncultured bacterium. RNAcentral describes it as "bacterial SSU rRNA". It matches the Rfam family "Bacterial small subunit ribosomal RNA", at positions 28 to 404 of the family's 1533-position model. The record is from RNAcentral.